RNAcentral lists this ribosomal RNA (253 nucleotides) under uncultured bacterium. RNAcentral describes it as "partial 16S ribosomal RNA". It matches the Rfam family "Bacterial small subunit ribosomal RNA", at positions 524 to 776 of the family's 1533-position model. The record is from RNAcentral.
UACGUAGGGGGCUAGUGUUGUCCGGAAUCAUUGGGCGUAAAGAGCGUGUAGGCGGCUCGGUAAGUCCGCUCUGAAAGCCCGGGGCUCAACCCCGGGAGGCGGGCGGAUACUGUCGAGCUAGAGUCCGGAAGAGGCGAGUGGAAUUCCUGGUGUAGCGGUGAAAUGCGCAGAUAUCAGGAGGAACACCAAUAGCGAAGGCAGCUCGCUGGGACGGUACUGACGCUGAGACGCGAAAGCGUGGGGAGCAAACAGG